Molecule: non-coding RNA, 86 nt
Filed under: Palpitomonas bilix
Lineage: Eukaryota
Source: RNAcentral
AAAAAACAACAAAAAAAAAUCCUCCUUUUUUUUUGUCUUUUUCUCUUUUUUUCCCCUUUUUUCCUUUUUAUUUUUGUAUAUGUGUG